Molecule: unclassified non-coding RNA, 367 nt
Filed under: fungal sp.
Lineage: Eukaryota; Fungi
Description: partial internal transcribed spacer region
Rfam family: Eukaryotic small subunit ribosomal RNA (bases 1-46)
Source: RNAcentral
AAGUCGUAACAAGGUUUCCGUAGGUGAACCUGCGGAAGGAUCAUUAACACGUAUCCAACGUUAAACCCCCCGUGAACCUUCAGUGCGCUCGCACUUUCUUAGAAAAGGUAGCAAUCCCUGGUAAAUCAUUGCCGAACAGUUUUGAUUCAGGGACUUCUGCGUAGACUGUGCUUGAGCGUGAGGCAAGUGGCCUGGCAUUCCCAGCUCUGUACGAAUGGCGCAGUCACGAUCGCUAGAGGCCGACACGGCCGGCGACCGGGUCACUGGGCGCGAGCCCCCCUCGUCACCUUUGCAUGAAAACGGGCCUGCGCUUAAUUGUGCGGCCACCAAACUCGAACAACUGUUAACAAUGGAUAUCUUGGUUCUC